AAACUUUUCAGGGUCAAGCCCCCCCUUUAACCCUGUCUGCCAUUCCCAAGCUGGGGCCAGGAGUGGGGCCACAGCUCCUGGGGAAGGGGGAGAGACACAGACAGGGGUAAGGUGGCCAAGACUGGGGCCACGGCUCAAGGCAGGUCUGGGGCCAGGAGCAGGGCCGUGGCCAGGGGCCAAGGCUGGAGCUGUGGCUGGGGGCGGGGGUGGGGCCGGGGACAGAGCUGUGGCCAGGCUGCCGUUGGGGGACAAAGUUGGGAGCAGGGCUGGGCUGGGAGCUGAGGACACAGCGGGGAGCAGGGCCAGAGCAGAGCUGGGCACAAACUGGGGCUCGGUGGCACUCCUUCCCUGCCUCCUGUAGGUGCUGGCCCGGGCCCCACCACGUUCCUCCGAACAUUCCCCACAGUUUGGGAACCUCUGUUUUACAAGACCUGAGCAACUCUCCUAAUGAUGACAUAAUGAAGCCAUCACUAUUGCAAUCUCCAAAAAACUGGGAAUCCACUCUGAAACCCUUAACAACAUCAUAAAGCAAAGGAAGAACUCAACCAAAGAAUCAGGACCAUCCAACACAAAGAUACAUCAAGCCCAUGGACAAAAGAGAAGAAUCUGAUUAAAAAAAAAAAAGACAAAAAAAUCGAGAAACACAGCUCCAGCUCCUCAGUGGUCCACACUACUCCAAGUGCUGAGAAAGCUAAAAAGAAUGAAAAUGCAAAGAUUCAAAAAACAAGUUCAUGGAUGACACUAAGCUGCGGGGAGAGGUAGAUAAGCU
Long non-coding RNA from Trachemys scripta elegans, 769 nucleotides. RefSeq lists it as uncharacterized. NCBI's taxonomy places the organism in Eukaryota, Metazoa, Chordata, Testudines, Emydidae. The transcript has 2 exons. The record is from RefSeq and is a predicted model, not a curated record.